GUGCCAGCAGCCGCGGUAAUUCCAGCUCCAAUAGCGUAUAUUAAAGUUGUUGCAGUUAAAAAGCUCGUAGUUGGAUCUCAGGUGCAGGCGGGCGGUCCGACUCGCGUCGGUUCACUGCCCGUAUCUCCUGCCCUACCGUUUGCCGGCUCUCUCCCGCGGGUGCUCUUCACUGAGCGUCCCGGGUGGCCGGUGCGUUUACUUUGAAAAAAUUAGAGUGUUCAAAGCAGGCCUCGGCAGCCUGAAUAAUGGUGCAUGGAAUAAUGGAAUAGGACCUCGGUUCUAUUUUGUUGGUUUUCGGAAUUGAGGUAAUGAUUAAUAGGGACAAACGGGGGCAUUCGUAUUGCGGCGUUAGAGGUGAAAUUCUGGGAUCGCCGCAAGACGGACUACUGCGAAAGCAUUU
This 400-nucleotide ribosomal RNA is filed under the name Clione limacina. RNAcentral describes it as "SSU rRNA". It matches the Rfam family "Eukaryotic small subunit ribosomal RNA", at positions 564 to 956 of the family's 1831-position model. The record is from RNAcentral. Lineage: Eukaryota; Metazoa; Mollusca; Gastropoda; Pteropoda; Clionidae.